This 45-nucleotide non-coding RNA is filed under the name Schistosoma mattheei. Lineage: Eukaryota; Metazoa; Platyhelminthes; Trematoda; Strigeidida; Schistosomatidae. The record is from RNAcentral.
AUUCAUCUGACGAGUCCCGAAUAGGACGAAACAUGAACCUUGAAU